RNAcentral lists this ribosomal RNA (469 nucleotides) under [Eubacterium] yurii. RNAcentral describes it as "bacterial SSU rRNA". It matches the Rfam family "Bacterial small subunit ribosomal RNA", at positions 28 to 495 of the family's 1533-position model. The record is from RNAcentral. Lineage: Bacteria; Bacillati; Bacillota; Clostridia; Peptostreptococcales; Filifactoraceae.
GAUGAACGCUGGCGGCGUGCCUAACACAUGCAAGUCGAACGAAGGUAUAUAUAGGAAGUCUUCGGAUGGAAUAUGUAUAACUUAGUGGCGGACGGGUGAGUAACGCGUAAGUAAUCAACCUGUGACACACGGAUAACUGAUAGAAAUGUCAGCUAAUACGAGAUGAACUGUUUAAAUUGGGAAAUGGAAACAGCAAAGCGAAAGCGGUCACAGACGAGCUUGCGUCUGAUUAGCUAGUUGGUGGGGUAAGAGCCUACCAAGGCGACGAUCAGUAGCCGGCCUGAGAGGGUGAACGGCCACAUUGGAACUGAGACACGGUCCAAACUCCUACGGGAGGCAGCAGUGGGGGAUAUUGCACAAUGGGGGGAACCCUGAUGCAGCAACGCCGCGUGAGUGAAGAAGGCCCUAGGGUCGUAAAGCUCUGUCGUAUGGGAAGAAACAAAUGACUGUACCAUACAAGAAAGCCCCG